AUAGCUCAAAUUUGAAAUCUGGCGUCUUCGGCGUCCGAGUUGUAAUUUGUAGAGGAUGCUUCUGAGUAACCACCGACCUAAGUUCCUUGGAACAGGACGUCAUAGAGGGUGAGAAUCCCGUAUGCGGUCGGAAAGGUGCUCUACACGUAGCUCCUUCGACGAGUCGAGUUGUUUGGGAAUGCAGCUCUAAAUGGGAGGUAAAUUUCUUCUAAAGCUAAAUAUUGGCCAGAGACCGAUA
This 238-nucleotide ribosomal RNA is filed under the name Cladosporium sp. Its description in RNAcentral is "partial large subunit ribosomal RNA". It matches the Rfam family "Eukaryotic large subunit ribosomal RNA", at positions 104 to 339 of the family's 3401-position model. Lineage: Eukaryota; Fungi; Ascomycota; Dothideomycetes; Cladosporiales; Cladosporiaceae. The record is from RNAcentral.